GACGAACGCUGGCGGCGUGCCUAAUACAUGCAGGUAGAACGCUGAAGAGAGGAGCUUACUCUUCUUGGAUGAGUUGCGAACGGGUGAGUAACGCGUAGGUAACCUGCCUUGUAGCGGGGGAUAAAUAUUGGAAACGAUAGCUAAUACCGCAUAACAAUGGAUGACACAUGUCAUUUAUUUGAAAGGGGCAAUUGCUCCACUACAAGAUGGACCUGCGUUGUAUUAGCUAGUAGGUGAGGUAAUGGCUCACCUAGGCGACGAUACAUAGCCGACCUGAGAGGGGGGUCGGCCAAACUGGGAAUGAGGCCCCGCCCAGACUUCUACGGGAAGCAGCAGUAGGGAAUCUUCGGGCAUGGGGGCAACCCUGACCGAGCAACGCCGCGUGAGUGAAGAAGGUUUUCGGAUCGUAAAGCUCUGUUGUAAGUCAAGAACGGGUGUGAGAGUGGAAAGUUCACACUGUGACGGUAGCUUACCAGAAAGGGACGGCUAACUACGUG
Molecule: ribosomal RNA, 497 nt
Filed under: uncultured bacterium
Lineage: Bacteria
Description: partial 16S ribosomal RNA
Rfam family: Bacterial small subunit ribosomal RNA
Source: RNAcentral